ACAUCAUGCUGCUCUCCGUCUGCACUCUGCUCUCUGCUCUGGCGUUGGUCAGUUCACACAAAGCUGUGACACAAAAGCCUUCGGUUAUAACAGCAGAUGUGGGUAAAACUGUCACUAUGGACUGUAACAUCGCAAAGGAUGAAGCAGAAAGAACAAAAACCUCAACUUCAAAUCAUUGGAACUGAAGUGGAAACUCACUUAAUGUUCACUGAAGAUACUUUGAAUUCUUCACAUUUAAAGAUCACAGAUACGGUACGACUUUUUAUUCCACUUUUAUGUAAACAGACACAGAUGGUUGAUGAUUCCAUCAUGUUCUCAGCUCAGUUGUUUGUCUGUAAUGAUCUCAGUGUGAUCAGGUGAUCUACAUACGAGAGCUUUCCCACUGAUACCCUCUGAUGUUUGUGAUUAGUGACAUUGCCUGACAGAUACCUGAUGUGGUCAGAAAGUGGCAGAAAGUAAAUCCAUGAGAUGUUUGAAGUAACUUAAAGUUAUCUUCUGUAAUUCAGACCAAGAGACAUUUGUAACAGCAGGAUUCCAGGCCACACUGCUUCACUGUGAUCUCCACUGAAACGCUUAAACACUCAGUCAUAAUGUUUUCUCUACAAUCUUUGGACAAAUGGAUGCAGUGGAUUUGGACCAGAACUGUUCUGAACCGUGGCAUCAGGAAUGUGAAAUACCUCGUUACUGUACUUAAGUAAAUUUUUCUGGUAUCAGUACUGUACUCCACUAUUUAUUUUUCGGACAUUUUACUCAUUACAUUUUUACACAAAUAUCUGUACUUUUUACUUCUUACAUUUUCAA
Long non-coding RNA from Tachysurus fulvidraco (yellow catfish), 801 nucleotides. RefSeq lists it as uncharacterized. The transcript is spliced from 3 exons. NCBI's taxonomy places the organism in Eukaryota, Metazoa, Chordata, Actinopteri, Siluriformes, Bagridae. The record is from RefSeq and is a predicted model, not a curated record.